UCAGCUUGAGAUCGGGAGAAGCUAGAGGUACUCCUGGGGUAGAGGUGAAAUUCUGUAAUCCUGGGGGGACCACCAGUGGCGAAGGCGUCUAGCUAGAACGAGUCUGACGGUGAGGGACGAAACCCUGGGGCGCAAACCGGAUUAGAUACCCGGGUAGUCCAGGGCGCAAACGCUGCUUGCUUGAUGUUAGCUGGGCUCCGAGCUCAGCUAGUGUCGGAGAGAAGUUGUUAAGCAAGCUGCCUGGGAAGUACGAUCGCAAGAUUGAAACUUAAAGGAAUUGGCGGGGGAGCACAGCAACGGGAGGAGCGUGCGGUUUAAUUGGAUUCAACGCCGGAAAACUCACCGGAGGCGACGGUUACAUGAAGGCCAGGCUGAUGACCUUGCCUGAUUUUCCGAGAGGUGGUGCAUGGCCGCCGUCAGUUCGUACCGUAAGGCGUUCUGUUAAGUCAGAUAACGAACGAGACCCUCAUUCUUAAUUGCAACUAAUAACUCCGGUUAUUGGGCACAUUAAGAAGACCGCUGGCGAUAAGUCAGAGGAAGGCGAGGGCAACGGUAGGUCAGUAUGCCCUGAAUCCUCCGGGCUACACGCGCGCUACAAAGGCCAGGACAAUGGGUUUCGACACUGAAAGGUGAAGGUAAUCUCGAAACCUGGUCAUAGUUCGGAUUGAGGGCUGAAACUCGCCCUCAUGAAGCUGGAUUCCGUAGUAAUCGCGGAUCGACAUCCCGCGGUGAAUAUGCCCCUGCUCCUUGCACACACCGCCCGUCAAACCAUGCGAGUUGGGUCUAAGUGAGGAUGUAGUAUUUUGCUGCGUUCAAACUUGGGCUUAGCAAGCGGGGUUAAGUCGUAACAAG
Molecule: ribosomal RNA, 852 nt
Filed under: uncultured archaeon
Lineage: Archaea
Description: bacterial SSU rRNA
Rfam family: Archaeal small subunit ribosomal RNA
Source: RNAcentral